This is a long non-coding RNA of Phacochoerus africanus (Common warthog), 5048 nucleotides long. RefSeq lists it as uncharacterized. The record is from RefSeq and is a predicted model, not a curated record. NCBI's taxonomy places the organism in Eukaryota, Metazoa, Chordata, Mammalia, Artiodactyla, Suidae. The transcript has 2 exons.
GCUGGUGGCUACAGUUCCGAUUAGACCCCCAGCCUGGGAACCUCCACAUACCGCAGAUGUGCCCUAGAAAAGACAAAAAAUAAAAAUAAAUAAAUAAAAAGUUCUUUGCCCCUCCCUGAUAAUUAUAGGAGUUAGGUCAUACAAGCAAACCAUCUUCUAGAAGAAAUACAGUUUUGACUAAGCCUGUUUCCUCUGUGCAGACCUAGACACUGUGUGUAUGUUUAAUAUUAUCUAGCCUGAAAUUUCAUUUCCCUUCAACAGCGUGCCUUUCUGUGUUUGUUAGGCCAGACAACCUCUUGUUUUACUUCUUACCUCAGUUCUCGUUCUUUGUUGUUGUUGUUGUUAGCAGUAUUGAUAUCAUUUUUAUCAGAAAAGAGACAUACUGUUCAGGCGUUUUCAAAUGCCUCGAAAAUGCUUGGUUACUUAGAGGCAGGAGACUUGCCCAACUCAGCUCACACCCAGUUCUGUCCCCUCAAUAGUCCUCUCUAACCAUGUUGUCAUCCACCCUUCCUUGUUUUAGAAGGUUUCUACUUGUUAGGAAUAACUUCUCCUUGAGCUUGAUCUUUUUCCUCUCUUAACUUUCACUUACUAGUCCUUGGCGGUCUAGGGCAACAUAUAUGAAACCUAUUCUUCGUACACAUAGUAUCUCUUCCAGUGUUUGCAAACGCUUGUGAAAUCCUGCUUGAGUCUUCCUUUUGCUGCACUGAGGGGAGGAAAGCCCUAAUUCUCAAACCAUGUGCACAUGACAUGGUUUGCACCUUUCUCCAUGCACGUUGUUAAACUCAUGACAAAGUCUGUUUGUCAGUUUACCUCUUACAAUAUGGUGGCCAGAGCUGACUGACUGCUUCUGAUGUGCACUGCCCACUGCUGAAUACAAUGAAGCUAUUAUCUGGAUACUGUACUUGUAUUUAUGUGGCCUGAAAUUUGCAUUAACAUUUUUUGGCAGUAACAUUACUCUUUGAUCGUAUUUAGCUUAUAGUCAACUAAAACGUCUCUUUUUCAUGUGAACUCUUUUAAGUCUAAUCUUUCUCAUUCUUUACUUGGCAGUUGAUGCUUUGAAAAUAAAUGCAGGAAAUUAUGUAUUGCAUUACUAGAGACAUUUGAAUUUCUCUGUAUCAGAUUUCAUCCCAUUUGACUAUUUGGAGAUAUAACAUUUGUAUAAAAGAGCACAGUUUUCAUGGUGCUUUCUCGUAUAUUUUUAUUUAAUCUUUACAGCAACUGUCCCAGAAUCAAGGGAGAAAAAUGGCUUUCCACUAAGUCAGGAAUUGGCAGACAUAGUACUUUGUCACAGGUUUUUUGGUUCCAGAUCCCAUGCUUAUCUUAUCACUGUUCACUUCGUAAGCGUUUAGCAUGUCCUCUGCCGUGUGGCCCGAACCGUGGUGUUGGUGAGUCAGUGAGCAAGACGGAUUAGUCUCUGCCCUGUGGUAUUUAUGGCCUGGCACAUGAAUAAUGACUGCCAGUUGCUGAACACUUUCUAUUAGGAAGGCACUGUGGUGGACUGUGUUCGUGUUCACAGUACUUGUUGCCUCGCUGCCAGGGUCCCUCUAUCAGAGGAUUGUAUUUCCCACUCCGUUGACAUCAAGUUUGGACACUUGGCUUUCUGUGACCAGUAAAAUGUUAGAGGAAGUGACCUGUCCCUCCAUGUUUGAGCAGAUGUUUUAAACUCCAUCAGGUGGUUUAGUCACGGAAUGAGCCUGCCUUAGCUGAGGCUGGUCCCAGAAUGAUGGCGCCUUCAGAUUGGGUUCCAGAGUGGUGGAGCAGAGCUGAAGCCAACCCACGUUUGUCAUUUAAUGUGAGAAAUAAGUCCUGGUGUUGUAGGCACCAUGGUUUUGGAGCUGUUUGCUACCGUAACAUAAUACAGCCCAGAGUGUGAUACCGCCAUUGCUCCGGGUGCUGGUGAAGGUAAAUAAGACUUUGGCCUUGUCCUCCAGGAGUGUGUGGUCUUGGUGGAUGCACUGAAUUUCCAUCAGUUAGUGGUAGUUGAGGAAGAGGAGAGUAUAUAUAUGAAAAGGUCUUUGAAGUUGAGGCUCUUUCCUGACUUCACCCCUGGCUGAAUUAGUUUGUUUUACAUCCUGGGUCUGUGGUCCAGCCACUCACUGUCACAACUUGUUGUCAUCCAAAAUUUGAAAAUCUUGCUUUCUACAUCCUCAUUCGAUCACCUUUCUUAAAUGUUUAAGAGGAUGGGCUUCUACAGCAGUUAUUGGAAACUUCCUUCAUAAACUUUAUUAAUUAGCAUUCGCAAGGUCACCUAAGAAUCUGCCUAGUUGAACCACUUCUCCAACAUUUCCAGAAAAAUAUCAUGAGAUCCUAGGUCCUGUUUGAAUUUUAUUUUGUUGGCAUUCGGAUUUUCCAUUGCAUUGCGUGGGUUUUCAGAGACAAAGCCUACACUGGGAUUCUUUGAGGAAUUUCCUUAUCCCUAGAAACUAAGGAAUGCAUGGCCGGGGUUCAGGGGAACUGUUGAAACCUUUGAAAUAAUUGCAUGUAAAGUUUCCUGUAGGUUUACAUUGUUCUGAGUUGUAGCUUUCAUCAUAUUAUCUGAGAGAAUUAUGACUCCCCUGGAAGGUUAUGAACCCUGCUGUGGAGUGAGAAUAGAAGCAGCCGGAAGAUUGGAGAGCGCCAGGGUUUAUUUAAGGCACAGGUGAAACAAGGACCUAAAAAGAAGUCCGAGAAGGAGUAAUUAGAAAGGGUUGAGGACCGGGAGUAAAUACGCUAUAGAAGCCAGUUCCUUAUUUCUUAGGUUUUCAAAAAUCAGUUCUAGAAUUUCGCAUGGAUUCUACAUCCAUUUUCAUGGCACUUCUUUAUGAUUCCUUGGAAAUUACCCAGUUUUCAGAUACAUUUAAUGUCUUAGGAUGUGAUUUUUCUUGGUCUAUAAAUAGGAAUUUAAAGCAGUUCCUCCUUCUGUGGCUGUCUCCUUCCUAUCUUAGGCUUUUUUUCUUUUUCUUUUUUUCCCCCUUAAUCCUUAUUUACCCUUCCCAGAUUAAAGGUCAUUCUUCUUAAUUAAAAAGGCUGACUCAAGAUAGGAGAGAAAUGGUUCUUUAUGUUAUCUGUUGACAGUUGAUUCCAAGUAAGGAGAUGGCAUUUGUUAUUCUUUUUGUUGAAAAGGCAUUUGGAAGUCUUAACAUAUUUCCUGAACACUUUUGACAAAUAUAUUUUGUUUUUAAAGAACUGUAUUGAGAGAUAAUUGUUAUACAGUAAAUUGCAUAUAUCAAAAAUGUAUCAUUUGAUAAGCUUUGACCUGUGUGUGUACCCAUAAAACCAUCACUGUGGUCAACCCCCUCUUGGUAAUCCCCCUCUUUAUUACCCAGGCAACUACUAUUUAUUUUCUUUUACUCUACAUUAGUCAGCAUGUCCUAGAAUACAGUAUGCACCCUUUGUUGUUUUUCUUUUGGUUUAGCUUCUUUUACUCAGCAUGAUUAUUUUGAGAUUUAUCCAUUUUGUAGCCUGUGUUAAUAGUUUAUUUUUAUUGCUAAAUAGUAUUCCAUUGCAUGGAUAUAAAAUAGUUUGUGUAUCCAUUCACCUCUUGGUAGCGGCUGUUGCUAGUUUUUAGCUUUUACAAAUAAAGCUGGUGGGAAAAUCUAUGUCCACAUCUUUGUAUGGACAUGUGCCCUCACUUCUCUUGGGUAAAUACCUAGGAGUGGAGUGGCUGAAUCACAUGGUGAGGGCCAGAGAGGGAGGAACGAAGAGGUUGAGGUUGAGAGGGAAAGGGAUUUAUUUUAAGAAAUUGACUCACAGGAUUGCGUGGUCUGGCAAGUUCAAAAUCUGUACGAUGGGUCAGCAGUCUGGAUCAGGCAGGAAAGGUGCUUUGCAGUCCUGAGUCUAAUAUCUGCAGGGUAGGCCAGCAGGCUGGAAACUCAGGCAGAAUUUCUGUUCUUGUCUUGAUGCAGAAUUCCUUCUUCCUCAGGAAACUUAAGGUUUUUUGCUUGGAAGGCCUUCACCUGAUUGGAUGUGGCCCAGCCGCACUGUGGCAGAUCCUGACUUAGAAUUCACGUUCGAUACUUCUCUGGAAGACAUCUGUGUGUAUGAGAAAUUCACAAUUAAAAAUAUGAGGACAAGACAACACGGGAUCCGACCCGCAUCUGCGACUGACACCACAGCUCAAGGCAACGCUGGAUCGUCAACCCACUGAACAAGGCCAGGGGUCGAACCCACAACCUCAUAGUUCCUAGUCGGAUUCGUUAACCGCUGCACUGCGACGGGAACUCCUCUAAUGGUGUUGUUUUAAUUAUUUUUUUUUAUCAAGUGGGAGCUGUUCUGUUAUGUACUUGGAUGUAAAAUAUAUAUACACAUAUAUAUUUUAGUGAGUUCUGUAUGUUCAUUUGAAACUUGUCAAGUGCUUAGGUUAUUUUAUAGUUUGUAGUACUUCAAGAGAAAUAUCACAGUGCCUUAUGGAAGCAUCAUGUAACUUAAGAGUAGUUUUAUGAAAUACAUUUUUCAGAGUAAGCAUACUUGAGAGUUCCACAUCAGUUUUCCUUUGAACUUCUGUGAAAAAAAUAUUUAGCAUAUUGUGUGGUUUAGUCUCCCAAAUGGCCUAUGGGUUAAAUUCCUAAUUAUAGUGUUUAAAUGUAUUGUUUUUUUUUUCUUUUGUUUAAUAGUCCUGUGUUUACAUCUUUAUAUACACACUUUCCUGAUUAUAUAAUGGGAUCUCUGAUCAUUUGGGCUCUCGGCUUUGCCUCGCUUUAUUACUUAGAAAAAGCUCCCUAAGAAAGUUGAGUUAUAGUUAAGUGAAAAAUUUUUUUCACUUUACCUUGUUUUAGUUAAUACAGUAAAAUAUUCUGUUAUACUGAGCUGUCGACCACCCUUUAGAAAAUACAUGCCCUGAUUUCUUUGAAAAUUAUACAUUUAUUAUAAAUGUAAAUUUUUUUCUGAUGAACAUGUACUUAUCAGUUUUGAAUGUUUUAGAAUCCAGGUAAAUGAUAAAAUGUCCCCACCCCCUUACUUUCCACUUAGCAUUUGUUAUUUGAUUGAGAACAUAGUAUAAAGUUGGAUUUUUGGAUAAUAUUUGAAUAUAUUCUGAAAUUAAACUCCAACUAUUUUCUGUCAAGUUUGAA